UCUGUCCCUCUGUUGACAUCAGCUUCAACAAUCAACCAAUUCCUGGUACUGAAAUGUGGUUAAUGGAUUUGCCAUGAAAAUGCCAUAACCGUGGAAUAUUUCUUUCACACAGUGUAGAUAACUGUGGACUUGGAUCCUUCCCAGAAGUCACCCAGUUGUCGUGCUUUCAUCAUAAGCUACAGAACAUCAACCAAACAAAGAUUUAAAUUACAGUAACUGGGAAUGUAGCAAUUCCUAUCCAUCUCUCAGGACACGUCAAGACAAGUCCAUUAUAUCAUUUGUCUUUAACAUUUCCAUAUAUAUUUAUAUAUUUUGCAACAAAUAUGAUUUUGGUGUCAGUGAGACCAAACAGUUGUCAUUAAAACAGACCCUAUUAGAAAUAAGUGCAAAAAUUAAACCAUUUUAAAACAGAUUUUAGACAGAGGUGCUACCAGCAUUGUGUUCCAGUGGUAUCUGUUAGCCACUUCUGACAUUAGCAUCUCCAGAAUCGCAAAAUAACUGAGUGGCACUAGUGCACAGGUUAUGGAUUUUUUUCUUUUUUCUUUUUUCCCCCUCUACAUACUUUGAUUUACAACUUUGAUUGAAUUAUGUACAAUUCAAUAUUACACCAUAAACAUUAAGCUUCUUUUUUUUUGUUUUUAUAAGUGAAAAGAAAUAGGUUUCUGUGACCAGGCCUUUUGACAAACACUGGGCUAAAUGUUAA
Molecule: long non-coding RNA, 703 nt
Organism: Cynoglossus semilaevis (tongue sole)
Lineage: Eukaryota; Metazoa; Chordata; Actinopteri; Pleuronectiformes; Cynoglossidae
Exons: 2
Source: RefSeq, a predicted model, not a curated record